RNAcentral lists this long non-coding RNA (1159 nucleotides) under Dromaius novaehollandiae (emu). Its description in RNAcentral is "lncRNA (ENSDNVG00000002521.1)". Lineage: Eukaryota; Metazoa; Chordata; Aves; Casuariiformes; Dromaiidae. The record is from RNAcentral.
ACGGCACGGCACGGAGACGGGAUGGAGACGGCACAGCCGCAGCAUGGAGACAGCACGGAGACGGCACGCGGGCGCUCCGGCCACGGCUCCGUCUCAGUGACCGGGAAAAGGGGGAAAAGCGGGAGAAAAAUGUCUCUGGGAAAGGCUGUAACCGGCCGGGCAGAACCGGCUCUUGCCGGCGGAAAAUCCCUGGGAUUCGCCCCAAACUCGCGCCGCCCCGAGGAGCCGGGCGGGGAAAGGGGGCUUUCCCGGCCGGGCGCCCGGUCUCUUCCCGUGGGAGCAUCCCGGCGGCGAGGGAUGCCGGGACGCGGCGCUUCCCGGGAUCACCCGCCGCUGCGGCUGUGCCGCCCCGGUUACAGUCGCUGCAGUUACAGCCGCCCGGCGCCCCGGUUACAGUCGCUGCAGUUACAGCCGCCCGGCGCGGCGGUUACAGCCUCUCCGGCGACAUUUUCCCGGGGGAGCGCCCGGGGGCCGCCAGACUUGCCUUGUGCCGCCGGAAAGAGAGGGAGAGGCGGAGAGCGAGAAACGGGGGAAUCUGCAAGGAAACGCACAGAGGUGAGCGGCGGCGGCGGCACCGGAGACGUCGGCGGCACCGGGAGAUGCCGGCACUGGGAGACGCCGGCACUGGGACGCCCGGAGCCGGUUCAGCCCCCUGGGAGCCUCAGCGUCACCCCGAGCUCCCCCGGGGCGGUUCCAGCUUUUUUCCCCCCAAAAGGCGCCGGGAUUUGGCCGGGAAGAGGCAGCUGCCGGCGGGGAAGGGAUGGGAGCGAUCCCGGGCGGAAAACCGGCACCGCUUCCCCGGGGGACCUGGCGGCUCCGGCCGCUCUUCCCUCGGCACCGGGUCCCGCUUUCGGCACCGGGCCCCGCUAACGAAGCGCGCUGCUAACGAGGCCCCCGCGGUUCCGGGAUGGAUAACGGGGACGAGCAGAGGCCCCGCGGCUCCUCCCGUCGCUCCGGAGAGGCCGGCGCUUUUCUGYGGAUCCCCCUGGGCCCAGGGGCUCCGGGAGGGGGUCGGAAACCCCCCGCGAUCCCUUCGGCCGCUUCCCAGGAAAACAAACCGCCUUGGAGGGAAGCGGCGGCUCCGGCGGCGCGAGGGCGUUUGGGGGGGGGCGGAACGGCGGCGGGUUUCCCGGGAUCGCCGGCGCUCCGCUGCUCCGGC